AUAUAAUAAAAACCUCCUUCACAGAUCCUGAAGAUGAGUAAUUUAGCUGAUGGAAGGCGUAACGCUGAGCUACUUGAAGCUCAAUCACUUGUAUGGAACCAUAUUUUCAAUUUCAUCAACUCCAUGUCCCUCAAAUGUGCAAUUCAAUUAGGAAUUCCAGAUGCCAUCCGCAACCAUGGGAAGCCCAUCACCCUCUCUGAGCUCAUUGCUGCUCUAACUCAUCUCCACCCAGCCAAAGCCAAUUGUAUCCCUCGCCUAGUGCGCAUUUUGGUUCACUCUGGUUUCUUUGCUCGAGCAAAAAUCAGCCAAAAUGAUCAAGAAGAAGGGUUUGUUCUCACUAAUGCAUCCCAGCUCCUUCUUAAGGAUCACCCUUUGAGUCUGUCUCCCUUCUUGC
This 394-nucleotide unclassified non-coding RNA is filed under the name Hevea brasiliensis (rubber tree). The record is from RNAcentral. Lineage: Eukaryota; Viridiplantae; Streptophyta; Magnoliopsida; Malpighiales; Euphorbiaceae.